UGCUCUAUGCCAGGGGCGAUACGGCCACACCUAAACUUCAAAUGCUCUAUGCCAGGGGCGAUACGGCCACACCUGGACUACUCAUCUCAUAUCAUAUCGUACAUGCCAUAUCAUAUCAUUCCAUAUCAUGUCAUAACAUACUGAGGGCUAGAGGAUCAUCCAGUAUCCAUCCACAUCAUCAUCAUCGUAUUAUGCAAUGCAUCAUAUUCGUGAAUUCUAAUGCAAACAACCUAUUGCAUAACAUGGUAUUCAUGAUGCAUGAACAUGCUUGAACAUGCUGAAAACAUUUGAUUCAAAACAUAAGGGUUAGUUCCACUCACCUCUGGCUAGCUCUGGACUAACUCUGAAGCAGCUAACACUGCUAAACACCUCGGUUCCUCGGGUCCGAUCCUACACAGGUGGACUCCAGUGAGGUGCCAAACAUACUCUAAACAACUCAUAAACAACUACCCAAAAACCCCCUAAAGCAUCACUUAAACAUGCAUAGAAAACACUCAAGAAAAGGCUGGACAGGGCACUUUCGGCGGCACCUUCGGCGGCCGAAAGUCCCAGACAGAGACGAAAGUCAGGCAGGUUCGG
Molecule: long non-coding RNA, 579 nt
Filed under: Manihot esculenta (cassava)
Lineage: Eukaryota; Viridiplantae; Streptophyta; Magnoliopsida; Malpighiales; Euphorbiaceae
Description: long non-coding RNA (MESC_LNC001183)
Source: RNAcentral